This 272-nucleotide long non-coding RNA is filed under the name Capsicum annuum. Its description in RNAcentral is "long non-coding RNA (CANN_LNC014663)". The record is from RNAcentral. Lineage: Eukaryota; Viridiplantae; Streptophyta; Magnoliopsida; Solanales; Solanaceae.
CUCCUAUACCAACCCCCAUAAAUACCACAAAGCCUCUAUCCAAAAGAGUAAAUAAAUCUGAUUGGAACAUGCCCCUAACCAUGGCCAAAAUUAAUAUAAAAAAAUGUCUAGAGAAAUCCAUAACAUGAAAUGAUGCCUUUUGAAAGGAUGAAAGCUCACCACUUCAGUCCAAAUGCUAAUAUCGAAUCUGCGUGCUAAACAGGAGGAGUAGAAUGAUCAAUUCCUGUAUAGCGUGGGUAUGCAACUGCUAGUAGACGGGGUUAGACAAUGAC